CCGCUAAGCCUAAAUAUUCCCUGGUGACCGAUAGCGGAUAGUACCGUGAGGGAAUGGUGAAAAGUACCGCGGGAGCGGAGUGAAAUAGUACCUGAAACCGUGUGCCUACAAGCCGUGGGAGCGUCGCCGUGUUCUUCGGAGCACGGUCGUGACUGCGUGCCUUUUGAAGAAUGAGCCUGCGAGUUUGCGGUGUGUUGCGAGGUUAACCCGUGUGGGGAAGCCGUAGCGAAAGCGAGUCCGAAUAGGGCGGUUUAGUAGCGCGCUCAAGACCCGAAGCGGAGUGAUCUAGCCAUGGGCAGGUUGAAGCGCGGGUAAGACCGUGUGGAGGACCGAACCCACCAGGGUUGAAAACCUGGGGGAUGACCUGUGGUUAGGGGUG
This 379-nucleotide ribosomal RNA is filed under the name Streptomyces xinghaiensis. Its description in RNAcentral is "Bacterial large subunit ribosomal RNA". It matches the Rfam family "Bacterial large subunit ribosomal RNA", at positions 457 to 823 of the family's 2925-position model. The record is from Rfam by way of RNAcentral. Lineage: Bacteria; Bacillati; Actinomycetota; Actinomycetes; Kitasatosporales; Streptomycetaceae.